CAUAGAGAGAGAGAGAGAGGUCAUCCCUGGAUAUUAACAUGUUAUCAACAUAGAGAGAGAGAGGUCAUCCCUGGAUAUUAACAUGUUAUCAACAUAGAGAGAGAGAGAGAUCAUCCCUGGAUAUGAACAUGUUAUCAACAUAGAGAGAGGUCAUCCCUGGAUAUUAACAUGUUAUCAACAUAGAGAGAGAGAGAGGUCAUCCCUGGAUAUUAACGUGUUAUCAACAUAGAGAGAGAGAGAGAGAGAGGUCAUCCCUGGAUAUUAACAUGUUAUGAACAUAGAGAGAGAGAGGUCAUCCCUGGAUAUUAACAUGUUAUCAACAUAGAGAGAGAGAGAGAGGUCAUCCCUGGAUAUUAACAUGUUAUCAACAUAGAGAGAGAGAGAGAGAGGUCAUCCCUGGAUAUUAACAUGUUAUGAACAUAGAGAGGUCAUCCCUGGAUAUUAACAUGUUAUCAACAUAGAGAGAGAGAGAGAGGUCAUCCCUGGAUAUUAACAUGUUAUCAACAUAGAGAAAGAGAGAGGUCAUCCCUGGAUAUUAACAUGUUAUCAACAUAGAGAGAGAGAGAGAGGUCAUCCCUGGAUAUUAACAUGUUAUCAACAUAGAGAGAGAGGUCAUCCCUGGAUAUUAACAUGUUAUGAACAUAGAGAGAGGUCAUCCCUGGAUAUUAACAUGUUAUCAACAUAGAGAGAGAGGGGUCAUCCCUGGAUAUUAACAUGUUAUCAACAUAGAGAGAGAGGUCAUCCCUGGAUAUUAACAUGUUAUCAACAUAGAGAGAGAGAGGUCAUCCCUGUAGUAUUAACAUGUUAUCAACAUAGAGAGAGGUCAUCCCUGGAUAUUAACAUGUUAUCAGGUAGAAGACAGAGUAGCCUCAAGGCUCAACCUAAUCGUUGUAGAGCUCCACUCCAUUUUUCCAAAAAA
Molecule: non-coding RNA, 919 nt
Organism: Oncorhynchus mykiss (rainbow trout)
Lineage: Eukaryota; Metazoa; Chordata; Actinopteri; Salmoniformes; Salmonidae
Source: RefSeq, a predicted model, not a curated record